RNAcentral lists this ribosomal RNA (303 nucleotides) under uncultured bacterium. RNAcentral describes it as "partial 16S ribosomal RNA". It matches the Rfam family "Bacterial small subunit ribosomal RNA", at positions 507 to 807 of the family's 1533-position model. The record is from RNAcentral.
AGCAGUCGCCGCGGGAACACGAGGGGGGCAAGCGUUGUUCGGAAUUAUUGGGCGUAAAGGGUGCGUAGGCGGGCGAAUAAGUCAGGGGUGAAAUCCCAAGGCUCAACCUUGGAACUGCCUUUGAUACUGUUUGUCUUGAGUUCGAGAGAGGUAAGUGGAACUGCGAGUGUAGAGGUGAAAUUCGUAGAUAUUCGCAAGAACACCAGUGGCGAAGGCGGCUUACUGGCUCGAAACUGACGCUGAGGCGCGAAAGCGUGGGGAGCAAACAGGAUUAGAGACCCCGGUAGUCCCUGUCUCUUAUAC